Long non-coding RNA from Gallus gallus (chicken), 2498 nucleotides. The record is from Ensembl. NCBI's taxonomy places the organism in Eukaryota, Metazoa, Chordata, Aves, Galliformes, Phasianidae.
AUACAUUUUUACCUAGAUAACCGUGCUGUCAUGUCCCACUCUGAUUGGUUCACACCAGAUAACAUUGUGCCUUAUUUGGCCGUUUCCACAUUCUUUUAUCAUCCUUCUUCUUCUCCUGUUUUCUCUGCAACAAGGUCAGCACGAUAGCACUGUCUCUCUAUGUUUAGGGAGAGGCCUGUCCCGUACAUCCCGUGCCCCCGCAAGACGCCUACUACAACAUCUCCCCCUUCCUAAGCUAAAUACUACUUACACACACACCUAACCCGUACAUCGCGAAGCAGCGCAAAACGCCUAAUCCUAAAUAUAUUUCAGCACACUAUUCCUACUAUUUUCUACUACAGUUCUUAAGCAAUCAUCAGAGCAACAGGGAAUUCUUUUCCGUGCUCGGCCAAGCCUUGCCCCGUUACAGCACGAACGCAACAACCUAAACCCCUCUAUAAUUUUUCACGCAAUCUAUGAUACUCAAUGUGAUAGUCAAAAGUCUUGUCCAUCAUUCGUUGAAGGCAGUUCUGCAAGCAUCCUACAAAGCAUGGAAGACAGAUUAGAAUACACACAAAGAUUACAAAUCCUACUGCGAGAGCUUUAAGCAAUUGCUUUAACCAUGAACCCGUUCCCCCAAACAGUCCGUCCAGCCAGCUUCCAAAGGGAUCACGCUCUUCUUUAAUUUUCUGCAUAUGUUCUUGUGUCCAUUGUAGUUGUUUGUGACACUCUGUAAUCGCCAUGGACACCAUAAAUAUCAGCAACAUCGGAAGUGUCAGCGUUGCAGGUGUAGUGCUCCUCUUGACGAGUGGUUCUUGAUCCCAUCGUCUGUCCCUCAGUUGUUCUGGAGUUGGCUUCGGUCUGCCAACGAAGAAUUUCUGUAGAAAACUCGCACCUAGACUCAGUUUUUGCAGAUAUGCUACUUAUAUCUGGUAUUACUUUUCGCGAUGGUACCCACAGAAUUUCCCAGAUUCAUGAUAUUUAACUGCUGCAUACCCGACCACGGAUACCCUUUAGCAAUCCCUUCCUGUGAUCAGGAGGCCCUGACUGGCCUCCCCCACAGGGGCAUUGUGCUCUAACAUGGCCAUACUGGCCGUAUCGGAAACACAGCCCUUGAUGCUGCAGCGAUCUUUGCUGUCGCAGGCCAACAGCUACGACAAUAGCUGUGACUAGCCUUUCAUUAGUUAAAUGAGCCACCUUGAGCUUAUCUAAGACAUACUGAAUAACUUCUCCGGAGGUAUUAAGCCGUACUUCGGCCGGCUCGCAGCAAUGCCUUAACAUUGUCAUGCGAUUUCUGCUGCAAGCAGUCAAUGAUCACUGGCCCUUGGGCCGGUACCAGGAGAUCAGACCCCUCUGCAGCAGCUAAAAGCCUGUCUGUAAAGCUUUGAAAGGAUUCAUUCGGGCCCUGGGUAAUAUCUGUGCACGGAGUAGGUGGUUCGGCCUUAUGCACAAGUUUAUUAAACGCUUCCACCACUGCACCUGUGGCUGCUAUUAGCUCCCCUGGCCUUAGUCUCGCUAGCUGGCCCUGGGGCGAAGCCACUCCCACGGCCUUCCCUGAAAGCCGCUGUAUUCCGGUCCCAUGCAGGGAGCGGCGCGGGCCGACCCCUGUCGCCCCGGCACGGCCCCCCAACUCGGCCACCCAGUCCAUCUCCCAUAACGUAUAUUGAACCAGCCUGAGCACCGUACGCAUUAAGUUUGUGAUGUCACGGGGGAAGAGAGGCCCCAGUGCAGCCAAAGUUUGUAGUGCAUUUAAUGUCAGAGGCGAUUUCAGGCCUCUUUUAUCCAUAAAUUCCACCAGGCGCGUAACACCCCCGGGGUCAGGCGGCACCCAUUCGGGACCACGAUCACUCACAAUCACCCGGAAUGCCUCUGGAACUAUACCCUUUCCCAAAGCCUCCGAUCUAAUCCCAUUCCAGUCCGUCAUUUGAUCCCUCCCCCUGCACUCAAAGCCAGUCCCUUCUUUCUCUUCUACACUAUCACUCGCACUACCGCCCCUGGGAGUGACCAGAGACAGUAGGCUAUGCUCCCUGUCCGCAUUGGACGGACCUUUUGUCUGGUCCCUCCCCAUGUGGGCACUAAGUUGAUCCUGCCCGUGUAGAUCACAGCUUCCUCCGCCCCCUUGAGUCAGGUAACACUGACGUCAUUCUGAUAAAGGAUACAACGUUCCGCCUGAGGGGUGUGGAUACGGGGGAGGGGGACGAGACAACGAACUUUCACUCUCUUGUUGUUUGUCUUCUUUUGAACUGAGCACGGUCGGCUCAGCCGGCGCCAUCCCACCAACGGUCAUUGGCGGCUCCGUCUCCUCUCGGCCCCUGCAAGAAACUGCUCCCGAACCCCCAUCGGACCCGACCGGGUCCUGUGUCUCACCUCCUCCGCUGAGACCCAAAAGGUAUCGAGCCUCCACCAAUACCUUUCCCUCAACUCUGGCCGCUUUAAGGGCUCCUAAUAUCAGUCCCCACGUUUUAAGUUCCGUAGCCUUCUGACUGGCCAUGGCGCGCUGGCAUAGCACCGAGGUGAGC